RNAcentral lists this ribosomal RNA (396 nucleotides) under uncultured bacterium. Its description in RNAcentral is "partial 16S ribosomal RNA". It matches the Rfam family "Bacterial small subunit ribosomal RNA", at positions 523 to 918 of the family's 1533-position model. The record is from RNAcentral.
AUACAGAGGGUGCAAGCGUUAAUCGGAAUUACUGGGCGUAAAGCGCGCGUAGGUGGUUCAGUAAGAUGGAAGUGAAAUCCCCGGGCUUAGCCUGGGAACUGCUUUCAUAACUGCUGAGCUAGAGUACGGUAGAGGGUAGUGGAAUUUCCUGUGUAGCGGUGAAAUGCGUAGAUAUAGGAAGGAACACCAGUGGCGAAGGCGACUACCUGGACUGAUACUGACACUGAGGGGCGAAAGCGUGGGGAGCAAACAGGAUUAGAUACCCUGGUAUUCCACGCCGUAAACGAUGUCAACUAGCCGUUGGGAACCUUGAGUUCUUAGUGGCGCAGCUAACGCACUAAGUUGACCGCCUGGGGAGUACGGUCGCAAGAUUAAAACUCAAAUGAAUUGACGGGG